UACAUGAGUGGCAAGCGUUAUCCGUAAUUAUUGGGCGUAAAGGAUGCGUAGACGGUAAAAGUAGUUGCAAUUUACUAUAACAGUUGAUUGGGUCUUUUGCAAAACCUUUUUACUUGAGUUUUUAAAAGUGUGUGACAUUUGUAAAUUAGUGAUAAAAUACUUUAAGUUUGCAAGUAUCCUCUAUAGUGAAAACAACACACUAUUUUAAACUGACGUUGAGGCAUUAAAGUAUGGCCAUCCAAUAGG
Molecule: ribosomal RNA, 246 nt
Filed under: uncultured bacterium
Lineage: Bacteria
Description: partial 16S ribosomal RNA
Rfam family: Bacterial small subunit ribosomal RNA
Source: RNAcentral